Molecule: ribosomal RNA, 209 nt
Filed under: uncultured bacterium
Lineage: Bacteria
Description: partial 16S ribosomal RNA
Rfam family: Bacterial small subunit ribosomal RNA
Source: RNAcentral
GUCUCAGUUCGGAUUGUAGUCUGCAACUCGACUACAUGAAGCUGGAAUCGCUAGUAAUCGCAGAUCAGAAUGCUGCGGUGAAUACGUUCCCGGGCCUUGUACACACCGCCCGUCAAGCCAUGGGAGUCGGGAGUGCCUGAAGUUCGUGACCGUCACAGGAGCGACCUAAGGCAAGACCGAUGACUGGGGCUAAGUCGUAACAAGGUACC